GGGGAAUCUUGCACAAUGGGCGCAAGCCUGAUGCAGCAACGCCGCGUGCGGGAAGAAGGCCCUAGGGUUGUAAACCGCUUUCAGUAGGGAAGAAAAUGACGGUACCUACAGAAGAAGGUGCGGCCAACUACGUGCCAGCAGCCGCGGUAACACGUGGGCACCAAGCGUUAUCCGGAUUUAUUGGGCGUAAAGAGCUCGUAGGCGGUUCGGUAAGUCGGGUGUGAAAACUCUGGGCUCAACCCAGAGAGGCCACUCGAUACUGCUGUGACUAGAGUGCGGUAGGGGAGCGGGGAAUUCAUGGUGUAGCGGUGAAAUGCGCAGAUAUCAUGAGGAACACCAGCGGCGAAGGCGCCGCUCUGGGCCGUAACUGACGCUGAGGAGCGAAAGCAUGGGUAGCAAAC
Molecule: ribosomal RNA, 401 nt
Filed under: uncultured bacterium
Lineage: Bacteria
Description: bacterial SSU rRNA
Rfam family: Bacterial small subunit ribosomal RNA
Source: RNAcentral